RNAcentral lists this ribosomal RNA (574 nucleotides) under uncultured bacterium. RNAcentral's name for it is "partial 16S ribosomal RNA". It matches the Rfam family "Bacterial small subunit ribosomal RNA", at positions 355 to 921 of the family's 1533-position model. The record is from RNAcentral.
UGGGGAAUUUUGGACAAUGGGCGAAAGCCUGAUCCAGCAAUGCCGCGUGUGUGAAGAAGGCCUUCGGGUUGUAAAGCACUUUUGUCCGGAAAGAAAUCCUUGGCUCUAAUACAGUCGGGGGAUGACGGUACCGGAAGAAUAAGCACCGGCUAACUACGUGCCAGCAGCCGCGGUAAUACGUAGGGUGCAAGCGUUAAUCGGAAUUACUGGGCGUAAAGCGUGCGCAGGCGGUUUGCUAAGACCGAUGUGAAAUCCCCGGGCUCAACCUGGGAACUGCAUUGGUGACUGGCAGGCUAGAGUAUGGCAGAGGGGGGUAGAAUUCCACGUGUAGCAGUGAAAUGCGUAGAGAUGUGGAGGAAUACCGAUGGCGAAGGCAGCCCCCUGGGCCAAUACUGACGCUCAUGCACGAAAGCGUGGGGAGCAAACAGGAUUAGAUACCCUGGUAGUCCACGCCCUAAACGAUGUCAACUAGUUGUUGGGGAUUCAUUUCCUUAGUAACGUAGCUAACGCGUGAAGUUGACCGCCUGGGGGAGUACGGUCGCAAGAUUAAAACUCAAAUGAAUUGACGGGGUCA